UACAGAGGGGGCAAGCGUUGUUCGGAAUUACUGGGCGUAAAGGGCGCGUAGGCGGCCUUCUAAGUCGAACGUGAAAUCCCCGGGCUCAACCCGGGAACUGCGUCCGAUACUGGAAGGCUUGAAUCCGGGAGAGGGAUGCGGAAUUCCAGGUGUAGCGGUGAAAUGCGUAGAUAUCGGGAGGAACACCAGUGGCGAAGGCGACUUCCUGGCCUGUUCUUGACGCUGAGGCGCGAAAGCUAGGGUAGCAAACGGG
This 253-nucleotide ribosomal RNA is filed under the name uncultured bacterium. Its description in RNAcentral is "partial 16S ribosomal RNA". It matches the Rfam family "Bacterial small subunit ribosomal RNA", at positions 524 to 776 of the family's 1533-position model. The record is from RNAcentral.